RNAcentral lists this long non-coding RNA (1024 nucleotides) under Hordeum vulgare. Its description in RNAcentral is "long non-coding RNA (HVUL_LNC011919)". Lineage: Eukaryota; Viridiplantae; Streptophyta; Magnoliopsida; Poales; Poaceae. The record is from RNAcentral.
UGAGUAACAAAGAUUCUUCCCAAGUCCUAUGAUUUACACAACUAGCAUGGCUAAGCAUUACUAUUAAACUUGGACAUAUGAACCAUAUUUAUUUGCGACCACUACAUGGUUAGGAAGGAGGGGUAUUAAGAAAGUCAAAGGAGGGUGUCAAUAUCUUUUACAAGCUCGUCAAGAUCCCAAUCACCCAACUAAAUCCAAGCAAAACCACAUAAUCCAUCAUAAAAUUAUGUCAAAAUAUGACAAUCAACUAACUAAAUCCAUUUUUUUCCUAAUUAAAUUAAAUAUUUGUUUAUCCAUCAAUAUAAUAAUCCUCAUGCUUAUCUUGUAGACCAAAAAUCUCAUAAUCCACCAAACUUCCUCGACUAUCUUCUGAAGACACAAUCACCUAACUAGAUCCAACUAAAAUCUCAUAAAUCACCGAGAAAUUUGGCUCAAUGUCGCGAUCACCUAACUAAAUCCAAAUUGUUCAAAAUUAGUUAAUCCACCGAACAACUUUGACAUCUCCCCAAGAUCACAAUAUACUAACUAAAUCCAUUGAAAAUCUUGUAAUCCACCGCGAAAUUUGUUCAAGAUCACAAUUGCCUAACUACAUCCAGAUUGCUCCAUGUUACUAAAGAUCCAUUUAUCCACCAAUAUAAUAACCACUGUGGUCCCUUACUAGACCUAAAUUAGCAUAUUUCAUCAAUCAUCUCGGACUAUCUCUUUAGGAUCACAGACAUCUAACUGAAUUUAGCAUAUUUCAUCAAUCAUCUCGGACUAUCUCUUUAGGAUCACAGUCAUCUAACUGAAUCCAACAAAACCUCAAAAUCCCAUCAUGAAUUUGGUUGAAAAAAAACAAUCACCUAACUAAAUCAAAAUUGUUCCAAACUAAAUUAAAGAUCUGUUUAUCCACCAAUAUAAAAUCACCAUUCUCAUCUUCUAUAUCUAAAAUCCCAUAGUCAAGCAAACAUCUUUGACUAUAUUCUCAAGACAUAAUCAUCUAACUAAAUCCAUGUAAAAUCUCAUAAUCCAGCGUGAAAUNNNN